CCUACGGGUGGCAGCAGUGGGGAAUAUUGCGCAAUGGGCGAAAGCCUGACGCAGCGACGCCGCGUGAGGGAUGAAGGUCUUCGGAUCGUAAACCUCUGUCAGCAGGGAAGAACGGUCACUGUGCUAAUCAGCAGUGAAUUGACGGUACCUGCAAAGGACGCAUCGGCGAACUCCGUGCCAGCAGCCGCGGUAAUACGGAGGAUGCGAGCGUUAUCCGGUUUUAUUGGGUUGAAAGGGAGCGUCGGCGGUCCGGAAAGUCAGCGGUAAAAGCCCGGGGCUCAACCCCGGCGAGCCGUUGAAACUGUCGGACUAGAGACGGCGAGAAGUACGCGGAAUGCGCGGUGUAGCGGUGAAAUGCAUAGAUAGCGCGCAGAACUCCGAUUGCGAAGGCAGCGUACCGGCGCCGGACUGACGCUGAGGCACGAAAGCGUGGGUAUCGAACAGGAUUAGAUACCCGAGUAGUC
This 464-nucleotide ribosomal RNA is filed under the name uncultured bacterium. Its description in RNAcentral is "partial 16S ribosomal RNA". It matches the Rfam family "Bacterial small subunit ribosomal RNA", at positions 338 to 795 of the family's 1533-position model. The record is from RNAcentral.